CCUACGGGUGGCAGCAGUGAGGAAUAUUGGUCAAUGGGCGUAAGCCUGAACCAGCCAAGUCGCGUGAGGGAUGAAGGUCCUAUGGAUCGUAAACCUCUUUUUUAAGGGAUUAAAGUGUGGGACGUGUCCUGUUUUUUAUGUACCUUAUGAUUAAGGAUCGGCUAACUCCGUGCCAGCAGCCGCGGUAAUACGGAGGAUCCGAGCGUUAUCCGGAUUUAUUGGGUUUAAAGGGUGCGUAGGCGGAUUUUUAAGUCAGUGGUGAAAGUCUGUGGCUCAACCUUAGAAUUGCAGUUGAAACUGGGAGGCUUGAGUAUGUUAGAGGCAGGCGGAAUGCGUGGUGUAGCGGUGAAAUGCUUAGAUAUCACGCAGAACCCCGAUUGCGAAGGCAGCCCAC
Molecule: ribosomal RNA, 394 nt
Filed under: uncultured bacterium
Lineage: Bacteria
Description: partial 16S ribosomal RNA
Rfam family: Bacterial small subunit ribosomal RNA
Source: RNAcentral